UACAGAGGGUGCGAGCGUUAAUCGGAAUUACUGGGCGUAAAGCGCACGUAGGCGGCUUGGUAUGUCGGGUGUGAAAUCCCCGGGCUCAACCUGGGAACUGCAUCCGAAACUGCCUUGCUCGAGUAUGGGAGAGGGAAGUGGAAUUUCCGGUGUAGCGGUGAAAUGCGUAGAUAUCGGAAGGAACAUCAGUGGCGAAGGCGACUUCCUGGACCAAUACUGACGCUGAGCCGCGAAAGCCAGGGGAGCGAACGAG
This 253-nucleotide ribosomal RNA is filed under the name uncultured bacterium. Its description in RNAcentral is "partial 16S ribosomal RNA". It matches the Rfam family "Bacterial small subunit ribosomal RNA", at positions 524 to 776 of the family's 1533-position model. The record is from RNAcentral.